UGAUAUUUCUCACAUCGAUGUUUUUUUCCUCUCUCUCUCAUAUCAAUAAACAUACUCAGUUGAGGAAUAAAAAUAAAAAAAUUUAAAAAAUGGCUUCUCUUAGCUUCAGGAGGCCAUUAAACACUAAUUGAAGAAUACCUUGUAAUUUGAAAAGAAUUUAACAGAUAAGUAAAUGCAGUAGUUAUUAAAAAUAAAGUUCAGAAUUCAAAAACUC
Molecule: long non-coding RNA, 214 nt
Organism: Pipistrellus kuhlii (Kuhl's pipistrelle)
Lineage: Eukaryota; Metazoa; Chordata; Mammalia; Chiroptera; Vespertilionidae
Exons: 2
Source: RefSeq, a predicted model, not a curated record